RNAcentral lists this ribosomal RNA (497 nucleotides) under uncultured bacterium. RNAcentral describes it as "partial 16S ribosomal RNA". It matches the Rfam family "Bacterial small subunit ribosomal RNA", at positions 28 to 507 of the family's 1533-position model. The record is from RNAcentral.
GAUGAACGCUGGCGGCGUGCCUAAUACAUGCAAGUCGAGCGAACAGAUGAGGAGCUUGCUCCUCUGACGUUAGCGGCGGACGGGUGAGUAACACGUGGAUAACCUACCUAUAAGACUGGGAUAACUUCGGGAAACCGGAGCUAAUACCGGAUAAUAUAUUGAACCGCAUGGUUCAAUAGUGAAAGACGGUUUUGCUGUCACUUAUAGAUGGAUCCGCGCCGCAUUAGCUAGUUGGUAAGGUAACGGCUUACCAAGGCGACGAUGCGUAGCAGACCUGAGAGGGUGAUCGGCCACACUGGAACUGAGACACGGUCCAGACUCCUACGGGAGGCAGCAGUAGGGAAUCUUCCGCAAUGGGCGAAAGCCUGACGGAGCAACGCCGCGUGAGUGAUGAAGGUCUUCGGAUCGUAAAACUCUGUUAUUAGGGAAGAACAAAUGUGUAAGUAACUAUGCACGUCUUGACGGUACCUAAUCAGAAAGCCACGGCUAACUACGUG